GGUCGGUUACGGCCGGGUUUCACACAGGUGUUGCAUGGCUGUCGUCAGCUCGUGUCGUGAGAUGUUGGGUUAAGUCCCGCAACGAGCGCAACCCUCAUCCUUAGUUACCAUCAGGUAAUGCUGGGGACUUUAAGGAAACUGCCAGUGAUAAACUGGAGGAAGGUGGGGAUGAUGUCAAGUCAUCAUGGCCCUUAUGGAGUGGGCUACACACGUGCUACAAUGGUGGCUACAAUGGGCUGCAAAGUCGCGAGGCUAAGCUAAUCCCUUAAAAGCCAUCUCAGUUCGAAUUGUACUCUGCAACUCGAGUGCAUGAAGUUGGAAUCGCUAGUAAUCGUGGAUCAGCACGCCACGGUGAAUACGUUCUCGGGUCUUGUACACACUGCUACCGAUCACGCCAUG
Molecule: ribosomal RNA, 399 nt
Filed under: Wolbachia endosymbiont of Tamarixia dryi
Lineage: Bacteria; Pseudomonadati; Pseudomonadota; Alphaproteobacteria; Rickettsiales; Anaplasmataceae
Description: bacterial SSU rRNA
Rfam family: Bacterial small subunit ribosomal RNA
Source: RNAcentral